AUGCUGGAGGUAUCAGAAGUGCGAAUGCUGACAUAAGUAACGAUAAAGCGGGUGAAAAGCCCGCUCGCCGGAAGACCAAGGGUUCCUGUCCAACGUUAAUCGGGGCAGGGUGAGUCGACCCCUAAGGCGAGGCCGAAAGGCGUAGUCGAUGGGAAACAGGUUAAUAUUCCUGUACUUGGUGUUACUGCGAAGGGGGGACGGAGAAGGCUAUGUUGGCCGGGCGACGGUUGUCCCGGUUUAAGCGUGUAGGCUGGUUUUCCAGGCAAAUCCGGAAAAUCAAGGCUGAGGCGUGAUGACGAGGCACUACGGUGCUGAAGCAACAAAUGCCCUGCUUCCAGGAAAAGCCUCUAAGCAUCAGGUAACAUCAAAUCGUACCCCAAACCGACACAGGUGGUCAGGUAGAGAAUACCAAGGCGCUUGAGAGAACUCGGGUGAAGGAACUAGGCAAAAUGGUGCCGUAACUUCGGGAGAAGGCACGCUGAUAUGUAGGUGAAGUCCCUCGCGGAUGGAGCUGAAAUCAGUCGAAGAUACCAGCUGGCUGCAACUGUUUAUUAAAAACACAGCACUGUGCAAACACGAAAGUGGACGUAUACGGUGUGACGCCUGCCCGGUGCCGGAAGGUUAAUUGAUGGGGUUAGCGCAAGCGAAGCUCUUGAUCGAAGCCCCGGUAAACGGCGGCCGUAACUAUAACGGUCCUAAGGUAGCGAAAUUCCUUGUCGGGUAAGUUCCGACCUGCACGAAUGGCGUAAUGAUGGCCAGGCUGUCUCCACCCGAGACUCAGUGAAAUUGAACUCGCUGUGAAGAUGCAGUGUACCCGCGGCAAGACGGAAAGACCCCGUGAACCUUUACUAUAGCUUGACACUGAACAUUGAGCCUUGAUGUGUAGGAUAGGUGGGAGGCUUUGAAGUGUGGACGCCAGUCUGCAUGGAGCCGACCUUGAAAUACCACCCUUUAAUGUUUGAUGUUCUAACGUGGACCCGUGAUCCGGGUUGCGGACAGUGUCUGGUGGGUAGUUUGACUGGGGCGGUCUCCUCCUAAAGAGUAACGGAGGAGCACGAAGGUUGGCUAAUCCUGGUCGGACAUCAGGAGGUUAGUGCAAUGGCAUAAGCCAGCUUGACUGCGAGCGUGACGGCGCGAGCAGGUGCGAAAGCAGGUCAUAGUGAUCCGGUGGUUCUGAAUGGAAGGGCCAUCGCUCAACGGAUAAAAGGUACUCCGGGGAUAACAGGCUGAUACCGCCCAAGAGUUCAUAUCGACGGCGGUGUUUGGCACCUCGAUGUCGGCUCAUCACAUCCUGGGGCUGAAGUAGGUCCCAAGGGUAUGGCUGUUCGCCAUUUAAAGUGGUACGCGAGCUGGGUUUAGAACGUCGUGAGACAGUUCGGUCCCUAUCUGCCGUGGGCGCUGGAGAACUGAGGGGGGCUGCUCCUAGUACGAGAGGACCGGAGUGGACGCAUCACUGGUGUUCGGGUUGUCAUGCCAAUGGCACUGCCCGGUAGCUAAAUGCGGAAGAGAUAAGUGCUGAAAGCAUCUAAGCACGAAACUUGCCCCGAGAUGAGUUCUCCCUGACCCUUUAAGGGUCCUGAAGGAACGUUGAAGACGACGACGUUGAUAGGCCGGGUGUGUAAGCGCAGCGAUGCGUUGAGCUAACCGGUACUAAUGAACCGUGAGGCUUAACCUUACAACGCCGAAG
RNAcentral lists this ribosomal RNA (1687 nucleotides) under Escherichia coli. RNAcentral's name for it is "partial 23S ribosomal RNA". It matches the Rfam family "Bacterial large subunit ribosomal RNA", at positions 1270 to 2925 of the family's 2925-position model. Lineage: Bacteria; Pseudomonadati; Pseudomonadota; Gammaproteobacteria; Enterobacterales; Enterobacteriaceae. The record is from RNAcentral.